AGGACUUUGUCUCACCAGGAUGUGGUAGAACACCAGCCCAAGGUCUCUGGUAUGCGGGAGAAGAGAGUAGGCAGAAGGCACAGAAGCUACAAAGAGAAAGUCAACUCUUAUCUACAUGUGCAUGCAUGUCUGACAAAUGACCAGCACAGGGAGCAGGACAUGACCUUUGACCUAGAUGCUCUCUAUCUGGGUUCACAUUCUCACAACCAAAACGAACAUGGUGACAAUGGAACCACUGGAACUGAUGGGAAAACAGAUGAAAAAAACCAUGAAAGGAGCCGACUUCCUGAUUUUACUCGACUGUCGAUCACGUGUCUGGGUUUGUCGUUCAUGCUCAUUCUCUCAUAUGCUGUCAUCACCCUCCUUCACAAACUGAAGAUACACAGGACUGUCUCUCAACAGGAUGUGGUAGAACACCAGCUCAAGGUCUCUAGUAUGCACGAGAAGAAAUUAGGCAGAUGGCACAGAAGCUACAACGAGAAGGUCAACUCUAUCUACAUGUGCAUGCCUGACAAAUUACCAGCACAGGGAGCAGGACAUGACCUUUGACCUAGACGCUCUCUAUCUUUGUGCGUCCCAAAAGCCUCCACACUUGUACUUUUUGAUCACUUCAUAUAGUGUCUAAAUGUGUUUGCUAUAGCCUGUUAAUUGGAAUGCUGUAUAAGGUCCACCUUUUGGCAUCGUCUAUGUUCACCACACUGAGACUGUGCCAUAUAAAAAUACCCUUUGGAUAAUUGUAGAGGAAUGCACACCUGACUGUAAGUCACUUUGGAUAAAUGCUGUGGAUAAAAGCGUCUGCUAAAUGGCAUAUAUUAUUAUUAUUAUUCUAUUACGAAAAGCUCAUUACGUGGUCAUAUAAAGGUACAGGGCUCAUCAUGUAAUCAUAUAAACAUACAAUGAGGAAUGUCAUACCUUACACACCAAGCCAUACUGCCCACUUAACAUGGAAGCCAGCAGCACCAAUGUUUUGGAGGAAACGCCAUACAGCUGGCAACCGAAGUCAGCAUGCAUAUGCACCCGGCCACCACACUGGGCCAAUUGUGCGCUGCUUCAUGUGUCUCCCGGUCGCGGCUGGCUGUGACGCAGCACGGUAUCAAACUCGGAUCUGUAGUGACGCCUCUAGCACUGCAGUGCAGUGCCUUAGACUGCUACACUACUCAGGAGGCACAUGCCAGUUACUU
This is a long non-coding RNA of Oncorhynchus tshawytscha (Chinook salmon), 1181 nucleotides long. The record is from Ensembl. NCBI's taxonomy places the organism in Eukaryota, Metazoa, Chordata, Actinopteri, Salmoniformes, Salmonidae.